GGCCAUUGUACUGGAUGCUUG
RNAcentral lists this non-coding RNA (21 nucleotides) under Arabidopsis thaliana (thale cress). The record is from RNAcentral. Lineage: Eukaryota; Viridiplantae; Streptophyta; Magnoliopsida; Brassicales; Brassicaceae.